Long non-coding RNA from Mytilus californianus (California mussel), 258 nucleotides. RefSeq lists it as uncharacterized. Lineage: Eukaryota; Metazoa; Mollusca; Bivalvia; Mytilida; Mytilidae. The transcript is spliced from 3 exons. The record is from RefSeq and is a predicted model, not a curated record.
ACUUUAAGUACAGCAAAUCAUGCCUCAAGAAAAAUUCAGGCAAAAAAUACAGCUGAGGUUUUAGUUACACGGAACAUCCAAACAACCCUUUUCGACACGGACAAAAAUGUGCCAAUAAAUGAUGUUAACUACAGUUAUGGAAUAUUUGCUGCCGGUUUUAUUGUUGUGUUACUAGUAUCUAUAGGUAGCAAUAUUUGCAUUGGUAAAUAUAGAUAUAGGGCAACACGCACAAAAGUGGAUCAACACAAAAUUAAUAUC